Molecule: RNA transcript, 951 nt
Organism: Juglans microcarpa x Juglans regia
Lineage: Eukaryota; Viridiplantae; Streptophyta; Magnoliopsida; Fagales; Juglandaceae
Gene name: rac-like GTP-binding protein ARAC8
Exons: 9
Source: RefSeq, a predicted model, not a curated record
GAAAAGAAAGGAAAAGGGUGGAAAGAAAUUGCCAUCGAGACGGUGAAUGAGUGAGUAUCAUGUGAGCUGCCUCUCUCUCUCUCUCUCUCUCUCUCUCAAAAGCAACAAGCUUGUUGAACCCAACAACCACUUUUACUUUGUUCAAGAGUAUAUUUGAGCGCUGAGAGCUUUUUUCUACUCCUUCUUCUUGGUUUCAAUGGCUUCAAGCGUCUCAAGGUUCAUCAAGUGUGUGACAGUGGGAGAUGGGGCUGUGGGGAAGACGUGCAUGCUUAUUUGCUACACAAGUAACAAAUUCCCCACUGAUUAUAUACCAACGGUGUUUGAUAACUUCAGUGCAAAUGUGGUAGUUGAAGGCACCACUGUCAACUUAGGUCUCUGGGACACGGCUGGGCAAGAGGAUUACAAUAGAUUAAGACCAUUGAGCUACAGAGGGGCAGAUGUCUUUGUAUUAGCUUUCUCAUUAGUUAGUCGUGCAAGCUACGAAAACGUACUAAAAAAGUGGAUCCCCGAACUUCAGCAUUAUGCCCCUGGAAUUCCUGUGGUGCUGGUUGGUACCAAAUUGGAUCUUCGUGAUGAUAAGCACUAUUUGGCUGAUCACCCAGGAUUGAUGCCUGUGACAACUGCACAGGGUGUGGAACUCUCUAAACAGAUUGGUGCUACAUAUUAUAUAGAAUGCAGCUCAAGAACUCAGCAGAAUGUGAAAGCAAUUUUUGAUGCUGCAAUCAAGGUGGUUAUCAAGCCACAACAGAAACAAAAAGAGAGGAAGAAAAAGCCACGUCGCGGAUGCUUAUCAAAUCUGCUUCCAGGGAGGAGUCUCAUCUGUCUCAAAUGAAACCACCUAGUCUGGAAUUUCUACCUUGGCCAUGUCACCCAGAAGCUGCAGUCUGCUGUAGGGCUCUCUAUAAAGGUCACCUGCUCUGAGACAAUUUUCUUUUUUGUCAUAAUUAUCAG